UGGGUGAUUAUGUACUUUUAUAAAAGGGUGUCUCUUGAAAUCUCAAGAAAAUUUCUCUAGAUAGUCAAGUUCUGAUCCAG
This 80-nucleotide small nucleolar RNA is filed under the name Carlito syrichta (Philippine tarsier). RNAcentral's name for it is "Small nucleolar RNA SNORD20 (ENSTSYG00000024409.2)". It matches the Rfam family "Small nucleolar RNA SNORD20". From Rfam's summary of the family: U20 is a C/D box small nucleolar RNA that is encoded in intron 11 of the nucleolin gene in human, mouse and rat. Lineage: Eukaryota; Metazoa; Chordata; Mammalia; Primates; Tarsiidae. The record is from Rfam by way of RNAcentral.